RNAcentral lists this ribosomal RNA (497 nucleotides) under uncultured bacterium. RNAcentral describes it as "partial 16S ribosomal RNA". It matches the Rfam family "Bacterial small subunit ribosomal RNA", at positions 28 to 507 of the family's 1533-position model. The record is from RNAcentral.
GAUGAACGCUGGCGGCGUGCCUAAUACAUGCAAGUCGAGCGAACGGACGAGAAGCUUGCUUCUCUGAUGUUAGCGGCGGACGGGUGAGUAACACGUGGAUAACCUACCUAUAAGACUGGGAUAACUUCGGGAAACCGGAGCUAAUACCGGAUAAUAUUUUGAACCGCAUGGUUCAAAAGUGAAAGACGGUCUUGCUGUCACUUAUAGAUGGAUCCGCGCUGCAUUAGCUAGUUGGUAAGGUAACGGCUUACCAAGGUAACGAUGCAUAGCCGACCUGAGAGGGUGAUCGGCCACACUGGAACUGAGACACGGUCCAGACUCCUACGGGAGGCAGCAGUAGGGAAUCUUCCGCAAUGGGCGAAAGCCUGACGGAGCAACGCCGCGUGAGUGGUGAAGGUCUUCGGAUCGUAAAACUCUGUUAUUAGGGAAGAACAUAUGUGUAAGUAACUGUGCACAUCUUGACGGUACCUAAUCAGAAAGCCACGGCUAACUACGUG